Molecule: unclassified non-coding RNA, 336 nt
Filed under: soil metagenome
Description: partial contains 5.8S ribosomal RNA, internal transcribed spacer 2, and large subunit ribosomal RNA
Rfam family: 5.8S ribosomal RNA (bases 1-120)
Source: RNAcentral
GAUGAAGAACGUAGCGAAAUGCGAUAAGUAAUGUGAAUUGCAGAAUUCAGUGAAUCAUCGAAUCUUUGAACGCACAUUGCGCCCCUUGGUAUUCCGGGGGGCAUGCCUGUUCGAGCGUCAUUUCAACCCUCAAGCUCUGCUUGGUAUUGGGCUCCGUCCUCCUCGGACGCGCCCCAAAGACCUCGGCGGUGGCGUCUUGCCUCAAGCGUAGUAGAAACACCUCGCUUUGGAGUGCAUGGCGUCGCCCGCCGGACGAAACCUUUUGUAUUUUCUCAAGGUUGACCUCGGAUCAGGUAGGGAUACCCGCUGAACUUAAGCAUAUCAAUAAGCGGAGGA